Molecule: transfer RNA, 72 nt
Filed under: Camelus bactrianus (Bactrian camel)
Lineage: Eukaryota; Metazoa; Chordata; Mammalia; Artiodactyla; Camelidae
Also listed under: 2 other names
Rfam family: tRNA
About the family: Transfer RNA (tRNA) molecules are approximately 80 nucleotides in length. Their secondary structure includes four short double-helical elements and three loops (D, anti-codon, and T loops).
Source: Rfam by way of RNAcentral
GAGGGUAUAGUUCAGUGGUAGAUCAUGUGCCUGGCAUGCAUGAGGUCCCAGGUUCAAUCCCCAGUGCCUCCA